GCUGGGCGUGGUUGAUGCACUCCUUUAAUCACAGAUAUCAGUGAGGCUGAAGCUGGCCCUUUCCUUGAGUUCAGGAGUUGUGAGCUGCAGUGGACUGUGCUAAUUAGGCAUCUACACAGAGUUCAGCAUCAGUAUGGCAACUGACCCCUUCCCCUGGGGAAAGGAAGUGUGCUAGGUUGCUUAAUAGGAGCCAUUUAACCCAGGUUAGAAACAGAGCAGGUCAAAAAAGCUCAUUAAUGGGAUCAGCUUUAUAAAUAGCCCUUGCGCUUUCAGCCUGGGCAAGACAGGGAGACCCAGUCUUUU
This 303-nucleotide signal recognition particle RNA is filed under the name Vombatus ursinus (common wombat). Its description in RNAcentral is "Metazoan signal recognition particle RNA (ENSVURG00010010844.1)". It matches the Rfam family "Metazoan signal recognition particle RNA". From Rfam's summary of the family: The signal recognition particle (SRP) is a universally conserved ribonucleoprotein. Lineage: Eukaryota; Metazoa; Chordata; Mammalia; Diprotodontia; Vombatidae. The record is from Rfam by way of RNAcentral.